RNAcentral lists this ribosomal RNA (411 nucleotides) under uncultured microorganism. RNAcentral describes it as "bacterial SSU rRNA". It matches the Rfam family "Archaeal small subunit ribosomal RNA", at positions 459 to 872 of the family's 1478-position model. The record is from RNAcentral.
CAGCCGCCGCGGUAAUACCGGCGGCCCGAGUGGCGGCCGUGUUUAUUGGGCCUAAAGGGUCCGUAGCCGGCCCCGUAAGUCUCCCGGGAAAUCGGGCGGCUCAACCGUCCGCUUCCGGGAGAUACUGCGGGGCUAGGGACCGGGAGAGGCCGGGGGUACUCCCGGGGUAGGGGUAAAAUCCUAUAAUCCCGGGGGGACCACCUGUGGCGAAGGCGCCCGGCUGGAACGGGUCCGACGGUGAGGGACGAAGGCCGGGGGAGCAAACCGGAUUAGAUACCCGGGUAGUCCCGGCUGUAACGCUGCGGGCUAGGUGGCGGGAGGUCCUUGGGAACUCCCGGUGCCGAAGGGAAGCCGGAAGCCCGCCGCCUGGGGAGUACGGCCGCAAGGCUGAAACUUAAAGGAAUUGGCGGG